GGGGAGCAGCUUACGUGGUACAACUCUGACUGUCACAGAUCCAGAUGUGCAGGUGCAGGUGAUCUGGACUUCUACCGGUCCAACACUGAUUUGUUCCAGCAGCUGUCUUCUCUCUGCUCGUUCUUCCUUUGUCUGGUACAAGAGAGAAAAAGAAAUUCAGGGAGAGACGUCUCCAUCUUUUAGAGGACACGUUGAUCCUGAGGACAGUUAUUCCUGUGCUUAUGAGGGUUACCGCUCUCCUCCAGUGUAUGCUCCGAAGGUCUCAGUGUUGAUGAAUCCCUCUGGUGACGUAAUGAAGGACAGUUCAGUGAAUCUCACCUGUAGCAUCGAUGCUAACCCAGCAGCUAAAUACACCUGGUACAAAGAGAAGCAGUUACUGCUCAGUGGAGAACCGCAGCUUGUUUUCACCUCCGUCCAGUCCUCCGACUCUGGAGAGUAUUACUGCACAGCUGAGAAUGAGCUGGGGAAGACGACAUCUGAACAUGUCUCACUUAAGGUGAAAUAUGGUCCUCAGACCUCCACUCUGUCAGUGAGUCCCUCUGGUGAGAUAGUGGAGGGCAGUUCAGUGACUCUGACCUGUAGCAGUGAU
This is a long non-coding RNA of Seriola dumerili (greater amberjack), 589 nucleotides long. RefSeq lists it as uncharacterized. The record is from RefSeq and is a predicted model, not a curated record. The transcript is spliced from 4 exons. NCBI's taxonomy places the organism in Eukaryota, Metazoa, Chordata, Actinopteri, Carangiformes, Carangidae.